Termitomyces sp. Mi166#008 is the source of this 95-nucleotide non-coding RNA. The record is from the annotation of a GenBank genome assembly. NCBI's taxonomy places the organism in Eukaryota, Fungi, Basidiomycota, Agaricomycetes, Agaricales, Lyophyllaceae.
UCUCUGCUAGUAUAUCGGCUAGUACACGCGCCUGUCAUUUGCUGUAGUGUGAGAUGACGACGCGCGAAAGCUGGGUUCGACUCCCAGGCAGAGAG